UUGGCACCUCGAUGUCGGCUCAUCGCAUCCUGGGGCUGUAGUCGGUCCCAAGGGUUGGGCUGUUCGCCCAUUAAAGCGGUACGCGAGCUGGGUUCAGAACGUCGUGAGACAGUUCGGUCCCUAUCCGUCGUGGGCGUAGGAAAUUUGAGAGGAGCUGUCCUUAGUACGAGAGGACCGGGAUGGACAUACCUCUGGUGUACCAGUUGUCGUGCCAACGGCAUAGCUGGGUAGCUAUGUGUGGACGGGAUAAGUGCUGAAAGCAUCUAAGCAUGAAGCCCCCCUCAAGAUGAGAUUUCCCAACUUCGGUUAUAAGAUCCCUCAAAGAUGAUGAGGUUAAUAGGUUCGAGGUGGAAGCAUGGUGACAUGUGGAGCUGACGAAUACUAAUCGAUCGAAGACUUAAUCAA
RNAcentral lists this ribosomal RNA (405 nucleotides) under Staphylococcus aureus. Its description in RNAcentral is "partial 23S ribosomal RNA". It matches the Rfam family "Bacterial large subunit ribosomal RNA", at positions 2518 to 2925 of the family's 2925-position model. The record is from RNAcentral. Lineage: Bacteria; Bacillati; Bacillota; Bacilli; Caryophanales; Staphylococcaceae. RNAcentral also lists the same sequence under 1 other name.